AGGAUGAACGCUGGCGGCGUGCUUAACACAUGCAAGUCGAACGGUGAAGUGAGGAGCUUGCUCCUUGCGGAUCAGUGGCGAACGGGUGAGUAACACGUGAGUAACCUGCCCUUGACUCUGGGAUAAGCGUUGGAAACGACGUCUAAUACCGGAUACGACCUAGGCCGACAUCGGCCAUGGUGGAAAGUUUUUCGGCUAGGGAUGGACUCGCGGCCUAUCAGCUAGUUGGUGGGUAAAGGCCUACCAAGGCGACGACGGGUA
RNAcentral lists this ribosomal RNA (261 nucleotides) under uncultured bacterium. Its description in RNAcentral is "partial small subunit ribosomal RNA". It matches the Rfam family "Bacterial small subunit ribosomal RNA", at positions 26 to 285 of the family's 1533-position model. The record is from RNAcentral.